AAUUGCGGCCAUAUCACGUUGAAUGCACCGGUUCUCGUCCGGACACCGAAGUUAAGCAACGUCGAGCUUAGUGAGUACUUUGAUGGGUGACCGCUUGAGAAGCUUAGGUGCUGUAAGCG
Octopus bimaculoides (California two-spot octopus) is the source of this 119-nucleotide non-coding RNA. Lineage: Eukaryota; Metazoa; Mollusca; Cephalopoda; Octopoda; Octopodidae. The record is from Rfam.